RNAcentral lists this ribosomal RNA (345 nucleotides) under uncultured bacterium. RNAcentral describes it as "partial 16S ribosomal RNA". It matches the Rfam family "Bacterial small subunit ribosomal RNA", at positions 338 to 697 of the family's 1533-position model. The record is from RNAcentral.
CCUACGGGCGGCAGCAGUGGGGAAUAUUGGUCAAUGGGCGCAAGCCUGACCCAGCACCGCCGCGUGCAGGAAGAAGGCUUUCGGGUUUUCAACUUCUUUUAUCAGGGACGAAGCACGUGACGUUACCUGAUGAAUAAACGACUGCUAACUACGUGCCAGCGGCCACUGUAAUACGUAGGUGGCAAGCGUUAUCCGGAUUUACGGGUUUUAAAGGGCUUGUAGGCGGGAGUGCAAGUCAGAUGUGAAAACUAUGGGCUCAACCCAUAGCCUGCAUCUGAAACUGUACUUCUUGAGUGCUGGUGAGGAAAUCGGAAUUCCGUGUGUAGCGGUGAAAUGCGUAGAGAU